CUAAGCGUCCAUCGCCUAAGCGUCGUCCAUCGCUGAUUAAGAAAAAGAAGGAAUGAGUUAAUAUUUCUACCCAGAUAUACAUUUUUCAAAGUUCUUUUUUUUUUUACUUUCUUUUUGGGAUAGUAGAUUUUUUUCAAAAUUCAUUAGGCUGUACACAACAACUAAUGUAAGCAUUUAAUAUAUCUAUGGCUCACGUGGCUCUACUUUUUG
Molecule: long non-coding RNA, 210 nt
Filed under: Capsella rubella
Lineage: Eukaryota; Viridiplantae; Streptophyta; Magnoliopsida; Brassicales; Brassicaceae
Description: long non-coding RNA (CRUB_LNC004024)
Source: RNAcentral